CCUCUUUAUUUUUAUAUCCAUUUUUUAAUAUUAUUAUUAAUAAUUUAUUAUUAUUGUAGUUGUUGUUGAUGAUUACUGAGUCGUAUGGGCACUGGCAGUGUCACUUUUGCACUGUUUAUUUCCAUUUGUGGUAGAGUCAGAUUGCAACCUUUUUUCUCAUCACUUCAAUAAUAAUGUAAGUAAAGACUCACCUUUUAUGCCCAAAAGCCCAAAAACGAAGCUACUCUUUUUUUUUUUGUUUCGUCCUCUUCUUCCUCCUCUAACUUCUAUCUCUGUACCCUUUUUGGGUUUAUCAUUUUCUCGGGAAAGUGGCGUCGCUGAGAAAGCUAGGUUUUUAUGAAAGUUCCUUCUUUCUCCGUGUUUCUGCUGCGAAAUUUCAGGGUAAAGGGACCAAGUCUGAAACUUUAGCACCAAAUGUCUAAAACCCAGUUUUCUGUUUUUUUUUUUUUUUAAAAAUCAUGUGUUCGUUUUUUGUGUAUUAAGAAUUUGAUCAGAAUAAUUAGUAUUACCCUCUCUGCGUUAUUUUUUCCAUUAAGUCAAUGAUAGAUAGGUGGUGAUACUCGUACUCAAAGCAAACGUGAUUGGUCAUUUUCAUAGGACCCAAGAAGUAGCAUUCGAUAUGAAUCAUGUUAUUGUUGUGUUUUUGUUGGGGAUCUUGAUUGAUUGAUUUCAAGUAUUUAUGAUUAGGGAGAUGGGUUGUUGUGUUGGCCUUAAUUUUGAAGGAAAACAAAGGCCUAACACUGGCUCUGUUGCUAAUGUUUUCUAAUGCUGGAAGUUAUGGUAUAUCUACAUAUUUUAUCGUUUAUUGGGUUGUUGUUGUUGUGGGGUCUCAUUCAAUGACCGACUACUUCUGACAUUGCUGUGAUAAAUACGAAUUGAAGCUUCCAAUGUUGAAAUGGAAGUAUUGAUUACUUGUAGGAAGAGAUUAAACACAUCACAUCAAUAGGGGGAAACCCUUCCAGGUAUAGUUUAAGGAUUUGGUAGUACUUUAUGUUGUUGCCAUGAAUGAAUUAUAAAAUGCCCUUGUAAAUUUAAUAUAGAAGUUUAGAUUUGGGAAAUGUUAGUGGAGCUAGCCCUGUCCGAGGACUAAACUACAUAGGUUCACUGAUUGAAAGAGUGGAAGUUGGUGUGUGCAUUUAAAAUCUACCAGGACAAUGUAUAAAUGACUAAAUGAGUGGGGAAUGGUGGGGAUUGCCUGAUAUAUCACCUUGAGAACUCUUACCAUUAAACUGCAGCCACCUAUCUGCCUGCCAACUCAUGGAUGGAUUUGCAGAAUAAUGUUGCUUGAUGUUGUCUUUGUAAGAGUGAUUUAUUUUCUCCAUAACAAUUAUUAACACUUUGAUUAUUUGAAAUUUGUGACAGUUUCACACUUCUUAGAUUUGUGUGUUUAUGAUGAUUUCUCUAAAAUAAAAUAUACAGGUAUUCUUGAUGCUUUUAGUUAAAUUAUUAAUCAAAUUUCUGUAUGGUUUCGAUGACUUGUUAAAUAUCUAUAAAGCUUGUUUUACUUUUCUUUGCUUGUAGAGAAACUCAAGCAGUAACAUUUUUUUGCCAAUUGUAGUUUGGGAAUUACUGAAAUUCUGAGCUCUUCUGAUGGAGUGGAAUGCAAAAUCUUCCCCACAGUGGGACUGGGAGCACGUUUUCUUGAAUACAAAGCCAGCAGGAGAAAAUUUAAAAUUACAAUCGCCGAACUGGAGUGGUGAAGCAAACCGUGAAAUCAAUGUUGAAUUGUUUGAUACAUCGGGUGGCAGUGGUUGUUCUGGAUCUGAGUUAAUACAUGCUUCUUCAUCAAGGACCUCAAAAUCAGCCUCCAUCAAUUCAUCAUCUAAUAUGGGUAGCAAAACAUCUAUAUUCACUUUUGAAAAUUCCCAAGAUGAUUCCAGUGCUAAAAAAGAAUUAUCUAAAGAAGAACCAGUAGAAACUUCUCAUCCACUAGAGCCCUCUUCUGUCUCUGGUGAACCAUUGCUCACUCUAAAGCUUGGUAAACGGUUGUACUUUGAAGAUGUUUGCCCAGGAAGUGAUGCCAAGAACCUAUCUUUCUCUAAGGAUCCCAUUUCAUCUUUAAGUAUAGGAAAGAAAUGUAAGUCCAAUGGUCAGAAUGUACAAUAUCCAUGCUGCCAGGUAGAAGGUUGUGGUGUUGACCUUUCAUCGGCUAAAGAUUACCACCGCAAACAUAGAGUUUGUGAGAGUCAUUCAAAAUCCGCUAAAGUGAUUGUAGCUGGUUUGGAGCGCCGAUUUUGCCAACAAUGUAGCAGGUUCCAUGGUCUGUUAGAGUUUGAUGAAAAAAAGAGAAGCUGCAGACGACGCCUUUUAGAUCAUAAUGCAAGGCGCCGGAAACCUCUCCCUGAAGCUGUCCAAUUAAGUAAAUCAGCCUUGUCUUCAGCACCCUGUGAGGUGAGACAACAAAUGAGUCCAUUUGCUUAUUCUAGGACUGCUGCAAAUUUAGCUUGUCAAGACAUACACAGCAGCAAGCUUCCCCUGACAAAAGAUUUCCUCAUGAAGCCUGCAAAAACAAAUCCUGAGAUGCCCAGAAUUGUCACUAUGCUUUCCAAUGAGUCCGACAUCUGUUUUACAUCGAAAGGCCUUGCAUCCAAAAGUAUUGAUCGAGGUGUAGAAGAUUCCAUAAACUCCUCUGAUCCAAAUGCUACGCAAGAUUUUCACCGUGCUCUCUCUCUUCUGUCAACGAAUUCAUGGGGUUCAUACGAGAGUAAAUCUAUUUCUCUUGAACACUCCAGUCACACAAUCACUACCACUCAGCCCAUGACGCAUGCAGUGAAUCAGCGCUUACCCCUUGCUUCAUCAGAUUAUUGGCAUACCGAUCAACCACUCAAUUCCAGCAUGUGGAUCUACUCGAAUAGUGAUGACAACAAUCGCUUUCACGAAUUUCAGCUGUUCAGAGAACCUUACGAGUCUGGUUUUCCCUAUGACCAGUUGGAUUAACACGAAUGUUCUCAUCAGAAUGGUUUCGACAAUCCAAUGAAUUUAUAUACAAGAAUUAGGAAAUAUUUUUGCAUGCUGUUUAGCUACUUCUUUUUUACAAUUGUGGAGUUUGAUACAAAAGAAUGAGUUUCCAACCUCUUGUCAACUUUCCUCUACCAGUUCAGUUUCCAGCUUGAACAUGGCAUUGAAAAUAGGCAUUGCUCAAGUGUUUUUCCAAUGAAAGUGAUGAGCUAAGCGAAGAUUUAACUAAUUAAUUUGAAGUUUAAUAUUUAUUAUUCGUAUAUAUGUACAUUUAUAUCUAGUAUUGUAAAUUUGCAAUAUUUUUUACAAUCCUAUUUGUGUGUCGUACUUGCUUUCUUGCAGGCUUAUCUUUUGCAACCGUCCUAAUAUGCCAAGGACGAAAACUAUUGAGAAUAUGUUGUGUAGAAUGGUACAUUGGUAACCCGUGGAGUUAAUUUUCACUCCUAUUUGUUAAUUCAAGUCUGCAACUUAUCUCUUUUUAUCUAAA
RNA transcript from Abrus precatorius (Indian licorice), 3445 nucleotides. It is a transcript of the gene named squamosa promoter-binding-like protein 12, with no coding region annotated. Lineage: Eukaryota; Viridiplantae; Streptophyta; Magnoliopsida; Fabales; Fabaceae. The transcript is spliced from 6 exons. The record is from RefSeq and is a predicted model, not a curated record.